GGUGAGGCUCACAAAGCCAAGGGCCCUAAGCACACAGGGGACUGGAGAACAGACAUUUUCCUUCUGUUCUUCAACCAUUCAGUGAACAGCUGGGCACCAAGAAAAUGAGCAGGUGAUUUCAGAUUUACGAAGCUGCAUUCUGACCCCCUAGGCAGAGUCUUCGAGAACAGAAGACACGAAUGCAUUUGCUUCAGCAAAAGAGACAUGUAUCUUAGAAACCUAUCAAAAAUAUUUGAAUACAGCUACCUCGGCAAUCUCUGCUCUACGGGCUCCUCCCCCCACCUUUCUUUUAACCUUUGCCUGAGAAGAAUUUAAAUGGCAUAUUUAGUGGCUGUAUAUUGUGCUUCCUGUACCCACUGCUGCAUAAAAGGGAUUGAUUUAAAUCGCUUACAGUAACCAUGUGGGGGAGGAGGGUCUAGUUUUCUGCACCAAAUGCUCCAGGAUGCAUAAUAAGCAACCACAAAUACAGACAACAAAUGAGUGUGCUUGCAUUUGUCUCUUCUCUGGUAAAGAAUUAUUCUUUAGUACGGAUGGACUGCACACUUUUAGCAUCAACAAGAGAGCAGCUCAGAUGUGCGAGCACCAAUAAAGGAUACUUAAGCCUCCGUCCCCCAGGGUUUCUUAAAAUGAGCUUAAGGACCAUUUGCCUUCCUGGAGAGAGAUGUGGAUGGAAGAGGUGUCCUGCUCCAAUCCAUGACUUUAGCAUGAGGAAAGCAUUCAGGAUGAAUGAAAGAAAGAACAGAGCAGAAUCAGGAUGCCUGGGUAAGAGACAAUAAGUCAAAAUAAGAUGAAAUGAGAACCCAAACUACAGAGUGGCAGCGAAAAUGCAGAGUGAAUGUGGAAAACUUGAUGAAGGUAAAAUCUGAAGAUCUUGGCACCUAAUUGGAUUCGCAUGAGGAGAACCAGAGAAGGGAGAGUCACUCAUGUCCGGGAGGAAAGAGCACAGCAUUUGUAACCUAGAAACCUGGACUGAAGGUCUUUAUUCUGCCAUUUACUAGUUUUGUAAACUCUGGGAAGCCAUUCACCUCUGAGUCUCAUUUUUAUCGGUUGCAAAACAAGGCUGGAAAUACCUACAAAAUAAAUGAGAAAAUGUAUUAAAUGUCUGAAA
RNAcentral lists this long non-coding RNA (1108 nucleotides) under Homo sapiens (human). Its description in RNAcentral is "novel transcript". The record is from RNAcentral. Lineage: Eukaryota; Metazoa; Chordata; Mammalia; Primates; Hominidae.